This 515-nucleotide ribosomal RNA is filed under the name uncultured bacterium. RNAcentral's name for it is "partial 16S ribosomal RNA". It matches the Rfam family "Bacterial small subunit ribosomal RNA", at positions 28 to 523 of the family's 1533-position model. The record is from RNAcentral.
GAUGAACGCUGGCGGCGUGCCUAAUACAUGCAAGUCGAGCGAAUGGAUUAAGAGCUUGCUCUUAUGAAGUUAGCGGCGGACGGGUGAGUAACACGUGGGUAACCUGCCCAUAAGACUGGGAUAACUCCGGGACACCGGGGCUAAUACCGGAUAACAUUUUGAACCGCAUGGUUCGAAAUUGAAAGGCGGCUUCGGCUGUCACUUAUGGAUGGACCCGCGUCGCAUUAGCUAGUUGGUGAGGUAACGGCUCACCAAGGCAACGAUGCGUAGCCGACCUGAGAGGGUGAUCGGCCACACUGGGACUGAGACGCGGCCCAGACUCCUACGGGAGGCAGCAGUAGGGAAUCUUCCGCAAUGGACGAAAGUCUGACGGAGCAACGCCACGUGAGUGAUGAAGGCUUUCGGGUCGUAAAACUCUGUUGUUAGGGAAGAACAAGUGCUAGUUGAAUAAGCUGGCACCUUGACGGUACCUAACCAGAAAGCCACGGCUAACUACGUGCCAGCCGCCGCGGUAA